UCGACGGACUCUACUACAGCUACCAGGGCAACUGCACCUACGUGCUGGUGGAGGAGAUCAGCCCCUCCGUGGACAACUUCGGAGUUUACAUCGACAACUACCACUGCGAUCCCAACGACAAGGUGUCCUGCCCCCGCACCCUCAUCGUGCGCCACGAGACCCAGGAGGUGCUGAUCAAGACCGUGCAUAUGAUGCCCAUGCAGGUGCAGUGCAGGUGAACAGGCAGGCGGUGGCACUGCCCUACAAGAAGUACGGGCUGGAGGUGUACCAGUCUGGCAUCAACUACGUGGUGGACAUCCCCGAGCUGGGUGUCCUCGUCUCCUACAAUGGCCUGUCCUUCUCCGUCAGGCUGCCCUACCACCGGUUUGGCAACAACACCAAGGGCCAGUGU
Molecule: long non-coding RNA, 391 nt
Filed under: Homo sapiens (human)
Lineage: Eukaryota; Metazoa; Chordata; Mammalia; Primates; Hominidae
Description: long non-coding RNA NONHSAT017381.2
Source: RNAcentral